GGAUGUGAAGGCGAUCUGGCUCUGAAAUCUGUCACCUCAUUGCUUGCCAGGACUGAUUUGGCUGAUCUGGUUGGUUAGGCAGGUGUCUCAUCCUCCCUCAAUGCCCCAAGUGUAUUGGCCUGAAGCUGAGUAUGUUGUUGGAGAGGAUGACCUUCCCCAUUAGAGGACGGUUCUUUGGUCAAAGGUAUAUGAAUAGCUAUGCUUCACUGCUAGAACCUCCAAAAAUACUCAAGUAUAUUUGCCAUAUUAAAUUUGAUUAACAGUCUAUCAAUUUAUUUUAUUUAAAAUUUUCUACACACAAUAUAUUU
RNAcentral lists this small nuclear RNA (308 nucleotides) under Microtus ochrogaster (prairie vole). RNAcentral describes it as "7SK RNA (ENSMOCG00000009908.1)". It matches the Rfam family "7SK RNA". Rfam says of the family: 7SK was discovered as an abundant small nuclear RNA in the mid-70s but a possible function has only recently been suggested. The record is from RNAcentral. Lineage: Eukaryota; Metazoa; Chordata; Mammalia; Rodentia; Cricetidae.